AUUGGGCAGAAUGUCAUACUGGGUGUCACAGAAUUCGAUAUGUUGUAUCUCUUGAUAAGAUGUGAUAGUGAACGUUUCACAAAAUAAAUUAAGACUGAUAUGUCAUGACAUUUCUGCUCUUGCUUCCUAGAUCGAAUUUUAAUUGGCUUUAACGAGAUUGGGCACUGAUAUUACUCCGUUUGCUCAAGCAGAAAAUAAUUUUAUUUUUAUUAUAUGGACGCCAUUACAGUGGGAUUAGCUUCAAGUUUUUUAGAGAAACCAACUAUGUACAAAAUAUUAUCUAAUGUGUCAAAAUAUACAGUCUACAAUGAACUGCAUAAAACAUCAUCGAUUCUUCGUGGACCAUCUAUAACGACUUUAAAUUUAAAUAAGCAAUCACUUCCUAAACAACCUGUUCCUGAUCUCAAGCAAACUGCAGAACGUUAUUUGAAAUCUUUAAAGCCAUUGUUGACUGAUGAAGAACAUAAAAAUACAGAGAAGAUUGUAAAUGAAUUUAUAAGCAAGAAUGGUGUAGGACCUCGAUUACAUGCUAAAUUAUUGGAGAGAUAUCACAAUACUGAUAACUGGAUGAAAGAAUGGUGGUUGCAAGUUGCAUACUUAGGAUAUCGUGUUCCUGUGAUUGUACAUUCCAGUCCUGGAACUGUUGGACCACCAGUUACUUUCAAUAAACCAGACGAUUUAUAUCUAUUUGCGGCGCGUCUCAUUGUUGGAGUAUGUAAUUACAAUGAAAUGGUCAAGAGUGGAAAUAUGAAACAAGAAAUGGCUCGCAAUGAUCCACUUGACAUGCAGCCUUAUGGCUUGAUACUUGGCACACAUAGGCAACCCAACAAAAUGAUUGAUAAACUGUUGCACACAGAUGAGGCCACACACAUAAUAAUCAUAAGCAAUAAUCAUUUCUUUAAACUUUGCGUUAUCGAUAAAAACGGCAUUUUAAAUGAGAGUAAAUUCAUGUCUGCUAUAAAAGAUAUUGCAGAUCGCUCAUGUAUGCCAGGGAAGCCUAUAGGAAUUUUAACUGGAAAUGACAGAGAUACUUGGGCAAAGGAUCAUAGUUUACUUUUAGAGUUGGGUAAUAACAGAAAUAUAAUCAAGAAUAUAGAAACGUCCUUAUUUAUACUGUGCUUGGACAAAAAUAUACCUAAAACCGCUUUUCAGGAAAAAAAUAAUGCUUCAGUUAGAGCAGUGCAGACUAUGACAGGUUUCAACAGCUGUCUAAAUGCAGCCAACAGGUGGCACGAUAAAACUGUGCAGUAUAUAAUAUCUGCAGAUGGUUAUAUUGGUAUGGAAUAUGAACACAGUCCAUGUGAGGGUAUUCCUGUUGCUGUUCUUCAUGAUUACGUAUUAAGAUACAUAACAGCAAGAGAAAAUAGCCCAAAAUACGAAGAUUUUAAAGAUUUUCCCAGAGCAGAAUUAUUAAAAUUCGAAACUAAUAAUGUUAUAGAGAAUGCAAUUGAGAAAGCUACUGAUACUGUAGACAAACUUUCAGAUGAUAUAGAUAUGGAAUGUUUUACAUUUGACAAGUUCGGUACAGAUGCGAUAAAAGCAAUUAAAUUGAGUCCCGACAGUUUUAUCCAAAUUGCGAUGCAAGUAACCUUCUACAACUUGCAAAGGGAACCGCAAGCGCAUUACGAAAGUGCAGCAUUACGAAGAUUUAUUAAUGCCAGAACCGAAUGCAUCAGAUCUACUUGUACAGAAUCUGUGGAAUUUGCAAAAAUGUUAUGCUAUGACAGUGACUGCAAGACCAAAGCGCAAAAGAAAGAAAUGAUGAUCAAAGCUAUAAAUGCUCAUAAAGAAAUAGCUGGACAAGCGGCGAUAGGCCAAGGUGUCGAUCGGCACUUAUUCGGUUUAAAAAUGAUAGCGCAGAGCGAAAGAAUGGAGCUCCCGGAAUUGUAUAAGGAUAUUGGUUAUACCAAAAGUACAUGUUUUAAUUUAACAUCCAGUCAGGUACCAUAUACUUCAGCAUCUUUUAUGUGCUAUGGACCGGUCGUUCCCGAUGGUUACGCUUGUUGUUACAAUCCACGACCGAAAGAUAUUCUGUUUGCCUGUUCCUCGUUUAAAUCUUGCGAAAAGACCAAUACGAAGGACUUUGCGCGUGUUUUACAACAGACACUAUACGACAUGCGAGAGAUAGGAAGCGAAUAACAUUAUAAAAAGAUAUGCAGUUUUACUGUAAUGAGAGUUCAGUCAAGAAAUUCAUAUUUUUAUAUGCAAUAUUUACGAUGCACAUUUUAUAAAAUUAUAAUUCUGAAUGGGAUAUGAAAGCUUUUUCAUUAGGAAAGCCCCAGAAAAAUGUUGGAAAUCCCUUGACUUCUCUUUCUCUGGCUACAAUAGCGGUGAAGGAAGAAAUGCAAUUUCCUAUGAAAUAGUUGGCUCUUCCAAGAAUUGCUAAAUCCAAAUGAGGCGAUGCCGGCGGUUCUUGUCGAAAUACUGGUAUCUGCAUAUACAUAUAAAGAUAAAGUUAUAAUGAUAAGAUAAUCAUUAGUAAUAACAUGAUAAUAAUAUGGUAAAUAUAUAAUCUUACCUUCAUACGUGCUAAAGCUUCUCCAAGUUUAUCCAACAUGUGAUUACUGUCGGAUGCCACAAAUACCGAUUUGAUAUUAUUGCCAUUACGAAUGACACGUUUCAGAUGACGUACUAUUAAUUCGAACGAUGGUAAGCACAUAGACAUGGUUGCUUUGCCACGUUCGUUGCGAUAUCCAAGGCACUGAGGCGCAGCGAAGAGAUUAGGCGUGAAUGAUAUAUGUUCGCAAGCGCGUACCUGAAAGUCAUAACAAAAAAACAUUAUAUUCUAGGAUAAUUAAAAUUAUACUCUACAUUAAAAUAUAAGUAUAUAUAUA
This is an RNA transcript of Cataglyphis hispanica, 2834 nucleotides long. It is a transcript of the gene named carnitine O-acetyltransferase-like, with no coding region annotated. Lineage: Eukaryota; Metazoa; Arthropoda; Insecta; Hymenoptera; Formicidae. The transcript is spliced from 14 exons. The record is from RefSeq and is a predicted model, not a curated record.